GUCUAUGGCCACACCACCCUGAACGUGCCCAAUCUCAUCUGAUCUCGGAAGCUAAGCAGGGUCGGGCCUGAUUAGUACUUGGAUGAGAGACUUUCAGUUAAGAGGGUAUUACAAACA
This 117-nucleotide ribosomal RNA is filed under the name Microcebus murinus (gray mouse lemur). Lineage: Eukaryota; Metazoa; Chordata; Mammalia; Primates; Cheirogaleidae. The record is from RNAcentral.